Molecule: ribosomal RNA, 828 nt
Filed under: uncultured archaeon
Lineage: Archaea
Description: bacterial SSU rRNA
Rfam family: Archaeal small subunit ribosomal RNA
Source: RNAcentral
GCCCCGCAUUGUAUUCGCUUAAGAAUGCGAGUCGAGAGGGUUCGGCCCUCGGCGCACUGCUCAGUAACACGCGGAUAAUCUGCCCUUGGGUGGGGAACAAUCUCGGGAAACUGAGAAUAAUACCCCAUAGGUCAUGGAUGCUGGAAUGCUUCAUAGCUCAAAGCCCCAGCGCCUAAGGAUGACUCUGCGGACUAUCAGGUAGUAGUCAGGGUAACGACCUGACUAGCCUACGACGGAUACGGGGUGUGAGAGCACUAGCCCGGAGAUGGAUUCUGAGACACGAAUCCAGGCCCUACGGGGUGCAGCAGGCGCGAAAAUUCCGCAAUGCUCGCAAGAGUGACGGAGGGAUUCCAAGUGCCUAUGCAAUGCGUAGGCUGUUUCCAUGUCUAAAUAACAUGGAGAGUAAGAGCUGGGUAAGACGGGUGCCAGCCGCCGCGGUAAUACCUGCAGCUCGAGUGGUAACCGCUAUUAUUGGGCCUAAAGCGUCCGUAGCCGGUCUGGUAAAUAUCUGGGUAAAUAGUGAGGCUUAACUUCACGAAUUCCGGAUAGACUGCCAGACUCGGGACCGGGGGAGGUCAGAGGUACUCCAGGGGUAGCGGUGAAAUGUUGUAAUCCUUGGAGGACCACCGGUAGCGAAGGCGUCUGACUAGAACGGGUCCGACGGUGAGGGACGAAGCCCUGGGGCGCAAACCGGAUUAGAUACCCGGGUAGUCCAGGGUGUAAACGAUGUGGGCUUUGUAUUGGAGGCCCUACGAGGGCGUCCAGUGCCGUAGAGAAGUUGUUUAGCCCACCGCCUGGGAAGUACGGUCGCAAGGCUGAAACUUAAAG